UACAGAGGGGGCAAGCGUUGUUCGGAAUUACUGGGCGUAAAGGGCGCGUAGGCGGCCGCCUAAGUCAGACGUGAAAUCCCUCGGCUUAACCGGGGAACUGCGUCUGAUACUGGAUGGCUUGAGUUUGGGAGAGGGAUGCGGAAUUCCAGGUGUAGCGGUGAAAUGCGUAGAUAUCAGGAGGAACACCGAUGGCGAAGGCAGGUCACUGGGCCGCAACUGACGCUGAGGAGCGAAAGCAUGGGGAGCGAACAGG
This 253-nucleotide ribosomal RNA is filed under the name uncultured bacterium. RNAcentral describes it as "partial 16S ribosomal RNA". It matches the Rfam family "Bacterial small subunit ribosomal RNA", at positions 524 to 776 of the family's 1533-position model. The record is from RNAcentral.